GACGAACGCUGGCGGCGUGCCUAAUACAUGCAAGUCGAACGCUGAAACUCAGAUCUUGUUGCGCGGAUGAGUGGCGCACGGGUGAGUAACACGCGUGUAACCUGCCUCUAUCUUUCUGAUAACGCCCGGAGACGCGUGCUCUUACUCGAUAUUAUAUGGUCUACCGCUGGGUGCUGGUGGAAAGGGCUUUUUUGCUGUGAGUUGUGCUCGCGGCCUCUCAGCUUGUUGGUGGGGUAAUGGCGUAACAAGGCAACGACGCUUAGCCGACCUGAGAGGGUGAGAGGGUACACUGGAACUGAGAGACGGUCCAGCCGCCUACGGGAGGCAGGAGUAGGGAAGUUUCGACAAUGGGAGAAAGCCUGAAGGAGCAAUGCAGCGUGAGCGAUGAAGGUCUUCGGAUCGUAAAACUCUGUUAUUAGGGAAGAAAAAAUGAGGAAGUAACUAUGGAUGUCGUGACGGUAGCUAAUCAGAAAGCCACGGCUAACUACGUG
RNAcentral lists this ribosomal RNA (491 nucleotides) under uncultured bacterium. Its description in RNAcentral is "partial 16S ribosomal RNA". It matches the Rfam family "Bacterial small subunit ribosomal RNA", at positions 28 to 507 of the family's 1533-position model. The record is from RNAcentral.